This 397-nucleotide ribosomal RNA is filed under the name uncultured bacterium. Its description in RNAcentral is "partial 16S ribosomal RNA". It matches the Rfam family "Bacterial small subunit ribosomal RNA", at positions 523 to 918 of the family's 1533-position model. The record is from RNAcentral.
AUACGUAGGUGGCAAGCGUUGUCCGGAAUUAUUGGGCGUAAAGCGCGCGCAGGUGGUUCCUUAAGUCUGAUGUGAAAGCCCCCGGCUCAACCGGGGAGGGUCAUUGGAAACUGCAGGACUUGAGUGCUGGAGGGGAUAGCGGAAUUCCUAGUGGAGCGGUAAAAUGCGCAGAUAUUAGGAAGAACACCGGUGGCGAAGGCGACUGUCUGGUCUGUAACUGACACUGAGGCGCGAAAGCGUGGGGAGCAAACAGGAUUAGAUACCCUGGUAGUCCACGCCGUAAACGAUGAGUGCUAAGUGUUGGGGGGUUUCCGCCCCUCAGUGCUGCAGCUAACGCAUUAAGCACUCCGCCUGGGGAGUACGGUCGCAAGACUGAAACUCAAAUGAAUUGACGGGG